UACCCAAGAUAGUGUGCAAGACAGAAGCAG
Molecule: non-coding RNA, 30 nt
Filed under: Rattus norvegicus (Norway rat)
Lineage: Eukaryota; Metazoa; Chordata; Mammalia; Rodentia; Muridae
Source: RNAcentral